CCAAUGUCGAAAGUCUGACGGAGCACGCCGCGUGAGUGUGAAGGUUUCGGAUCGUAAAGCUCUGUUGUUAGGGAAGAACAAGUGCCGUUCAAAUAGGGCGGCACCUUGACGGUACCUAACCAGAAAGCCACGGCUAACUACGUGCCAGCGGCAACGGUAAAA
This 162-nucleotide ribosomal RNA is filed under the name Bacillus amyloliquefaciens. RNAcentral's name for it is "partial 16S ribosomal RNA". It matches the Rfam family "Bacterial small subunit ribosomal RNA", at positions 369 to 525 of the family's 1533-position model. Lineage: Bacteria; Bacillati; Bacillota; Bacilli; Caryophanales; Bacillaceae. The record is from RNAcentral.